UGUCUUAAAGAGACCUCAAGGAUGUUUGC
RNAcentral lists this non-coding RNA (29 nucleotides) under Rattus norvegicus (Norway rat). Lineage: Eukaryota; Metazoa; Chordata; Mammalia; Rodentia; Muridae. The record is from RNAcentral.